This 430-nucleotide ribosomal RNA is filed under the name uncultured Acidobacteriota bacterium. RNAcentral describes it as "bacterial SSU rRNA". It matches the Rfam family "Bacterial small subunit ribosomal RNA", at positions 1070 to 1499 of the family's 1533-position model. The record is from RNAcentral. Lineage: Bacteria; Pseudomonadati; Acidobacteriota.
AGAUGUUGGGUUAAGUCCCGCAACGAGCGCAACCCUUGUCCUGUGUUGCCAUACCGAAAGGUGGAACUCGCAGGAGACCGCCAGCGAUAAGCUGGAGGAAGGUGGGGAUGACGUCAAGUCCUCAUGGCCUUUAUGUCCAGGGCUACACACGUGCUACAAUGGCCGGUACAAAGCGCAGCUAAGUCGCAAGACGGAGCCAAUCGCAGAAAACCGGUCUCAGUUCGGAUUGCAGGCUGCAACUCGCCUGCAUGAAGCUGGAAUCGCUAGUAAUGGCGGAUCAGAACGCCGCCGUGAAUACGUUCCCGGGCCUUGUACACACCGCCCGUCACAUCACGAAAGUGGGUUGUACUAGAAGUCUGCAGGCCGACCCGCAAGGGGGGCAGCGGCCCAAGGUAUGACUCAUGAUUGGGGUGAAGUCGUAACAAGGUAA